GGGGAUUUAGCUCAGUGGUAGAGCGCUUGCCUAGGAAGCGUAAGGCCCUGGGUUCGGUCCCCAGCUCG
RNAcentral lists this transfer RNA (68 nucleotides) under Rattus norvegicus (Norway rat). It matches the Rfam family "tRNA". Rfam says of the family: Transfer RNA (tRNA) molecules are approximately 80 nucleotides in length. Their secondary structure includes four short double-helical elements and three loops (D, anti-codon, and T loops). Lineage: Eukaryota; Metazoa; Chordata; Mammalia; Rodentia; Muridae. The record is from Rfam by way of RNAcentral.